GCUUGCUACUGGUGAUGGCGACCGGCGCACGGGUGAGUAACGCGUAUCCACCUUCCCAUGACUGGUGAAUAACCUUGCGAAAGUAAGACUAAUACCCCAUGGUUUCCGAGGCGGACAUCCAAUUUGGAAUAAAGAUUCAUCGGUCAUGGAUGGGGAUGCGUCUGAUUAGCUUGUUGGCGGGGUAACGGCCCACCAAGGCGACGAUCAGUAGGGGUUCUGAGAGGAAGGUCCCCCACAUUGGAACUGAGACACGGUCCACACUCCUACGGGAGGCAGCAGUGAGGAAUAUUGGUCAAUGGACGAGAGUCUGAACCAGCCAAGUAGCGUGCAGGAUGACGGCCCUAUGGGUUGUAAACUGCUUUUAUACGGGAAUAAAGUGGCUCACGUGUGGGUUUUUGUAUGUACCGUAUGAAUAAGGACCGGCUAAUUCCGUGCCAGCAGCCGCGGUAAUACGGAAGGUCCGGGCGUUAUCCGGAUUUAUUGGGUUUAAAGGGAGCGUAGGCCGCCGAUUAGGCGUGUUGUGAAAUGCCGCAGCUCACCUGUGGCACUGCAGCGCGAACUGGUUGGCUUGAGUGCGCGGAAGGCAGGCGGAAUUUGUGGUGUAGCGGUGAAAUGCUUAGAUAUCACGAAGAACCCCGAUUGCGAAGGCAGCCUGCCGCAGCGUAACUGACGCUGAAGC
This 679-nucleotide ribosomal RNA is filed under the name uncultured Bacteroidota bacterium. RNAcentral describes it as "bacterial SSU rRNA". It matches the Rfam family "Bacterial small subunit ribosomal RNA", at positions 78 to 752 of the family's 1533-position model. The record is from RNAcentral. Lineage: Bacteria; Pseudomonadati; Bacteroidota.